GGGCCCGUAGCUCAGCCGGAUAGAGCAAGGGAUUUCUAAUCCCUGGGUCGCAGGUUCGAAUCCUGCCGGGCCCACCU
This 77-nucleotide transfer RNA is filed under the name Aquifex aeolicus. RNAcentral's name for it is "tRNA-Arg". It matches the Rfam family "tRNA". From Rfam's summary of the family: Transfer RNA (tRNA) molecules are approximately 80 nucleotides in length. Their secondary structure includes four short double-helical elements and three loops (D, anti-codon, and T loops). RNAcentral also lists the same sequence under 1 other name. Lineage: Bacteria; Pseudomonadati; Aquificota; Aquificia; Aquificales; Aquificaceae. The record is from RNAcentral.